AGAGUUUGAUCCUGGCUCAGGACGAACGCUGGCGGCGUGCCUAACACAUGCAAGUCGAACGGAGCGAAAGCAGCUUGCUGCUGGAGCUUAGUGGCGGACGGGUGAGUAACACGUGAGCAACCUGCCUUUCAGAGGGGAAUAAUGUCUGGAAACGGACACUAAUGCCGCAUAACAUCUUUUAACUGCAUGGUUGAGAGAUCAAAGGAGUAAUCCGCUGAAAGAUGGGCUCGCGUCUGAUUAGGUAGUUGGUGAGGUAACGGCCCACCAAGCCGACGAUCAGUAGCCGGUCUGAGAGGAUGAACGGCCACACUGGAACUGAGACACGGUCCAGACUCCUACGGGAGGCAGCAGUGGGGAAUCUUCCGCGAUGGGCGAAAGCCUGACGGAGCAACGCCGCGUGGGUGAUGACGGCCUUCGGGUUGUAAAGCCCUGUGACAGGGGACGAACGUUUCUUGUAUCAACAACGCAAGGAAGUGACGGUACCCUGAUAGCAAGCCACGGCUAACUACGUGCCAGCAGCCGCGGUAAUACGUAGGUGGCAAGCGUUGUCCGGAAUUAUUGGGCGUAAAGCGCGCGCAGGCGGCCCUUUAAGUCCAUCUUAAAAGUGCGGGGCUUAACCCCGUGAUGGGAUGGAAACUGGAGAGCUGGAGUAUCGGAGAGGAAAGCGGAAUUCCUAGUGUAGCGGUGAAAUGCGUAGAGAUUAGGAAGAACACCGGUGGCGAAGGCGGCUUUCUGGACGACAACUGACGCUGAGGCGCGAAAGCGUGGGGAGCAAACAGGAUUAGAUACCCUGGUAGUCCACGCCGUAAACGA
Molecule: ribosomal RNA, 813 nt
Filed under: uncultured bacterium
Lineage: Bacteria
Description: bacterial SSU rRNA
Rfam family: Bacterial small subunit ribosomal RNA
Source: RNAcentral